AGUGAACGCUGGCGGUAGGCCUAACACAUGCAAGUCGAACGGCAGCACAGGAGAGCUUGCUCUCUGGGUGGCGAGUGGCGGACGGGUGAGGAAUACAUCGGAAUCUACUCUGUCGUGGGGGAUAACGUAGGGAAACUUACGCUAAUACCGCAUACGACCUACGGGUGAAAGCAGGGGACCUUCGGGCCUUGCGCGAUUGAAUGAGCCGAUGUCAGAUUAGCUAGUUGGCGGGGUAAAGGCCCACCAAGGCGACGAUCCGUAGCUGGUCUGAGAGAAUGAUCAGCCACACGGGAACUGAGACACGGUCCAGACUCCUACGGGAGGCAGCAGUGGGGAAUAUUGGACAAUGGGCGCAAGCCUGAUCCAGCCAUACCGCGUGGGUGAAGAAGGCCUUCGGGUUGUAAAGCCCUUUUGUUGGGAAAGAAAUCCAGCUGGCUAAUACCCGGUUGGGAUGACGGUACCCAAAGAAUAAGCACCGGCUAACUUCGUGCCAGCCGCCGCCGUAA
RNAcentral lists this ribosomal RNA (506 nucleotides) under uncultured bacterium. RNAcentral's name for it is "partial 16S ribosomal RNA". It matches the Rfam family "Bacterial small subunit ribosomal RNA", at positions 29 to 523 of the family's 1533-position model. The record is from RNAcentral.